This 221-nucleotide long non-coding RNA is filed under the name Elaeis guineensis (African oil palm). RNAcentral's name for it is "long non-coding RNA (EGUI_LNC035756)". Lineage: Eukaryota; Viridiplantae; Streptophyta; Magnoliopsida; Arecales; Arecaceae. The record is from RNAcentral.
GGUGUGAUUUAUAUUUAAUUAUGAGAUACAUUAAUUUUUGAUACAUAUUUAAUAUUAGAUAACUCAACAGUACUUCAUCAUAUCAUUUUUUUUUAGGUAUCAAAGAUGAUGGAGAUAAAUAAUUCAGAUGAACUAAUAGCUCUUGCUCGAGGACCUAACAAGAUUGUGAAUAGAUAUAACGGUUUCAUAAUUAAUGGCUUUAAAUUUCAUACUAGAGAACG